UUAGAUACCCUAGUAGUCCUAGCCGUAAACGAUGGGUACUAGGUGUAAGGGGUUUCGAUACCUCCUGUGCCGCAGUUAACGCAAUAAGUACCCCGCCUGGGGAGUACGUGCGCAAGCAUGAAACUCAAAGGAAUUGACGGGGGCCCGCACAAGCGGUGGGGCAUGUGGUUUAAUUCGAAGCAACGCGAAGAACCUUACCAGGUCUUAACAUCCCUUGAUACCCUCAGAGAUGAGGCAUCUCUUCGGAGCAAGGAGACAGGUGGUGCAUGGUUGUCGUCAGCUCGUGUCGUGAGAUGUUGGGUUAAGUCCCGCAACGAGCGCAACCCUUGCCUUUAGUUGCCAGCAUUCAGUUGGGCACUCUAGAGGGACUGCCGGUGACAAACCGGAGGAAGGUGGGGAUGACGUCAAAUCAUCAUGCCCCUUAUGUCCUGGGCUACACACGUGCUACAAUGGUCUGUACAGAGGGAAGCUAAGCAGCGAUGUGGAGCGAAUCCCAGAAAACAGAUCUCAGUUCGGAUUGUAGGCUGCAACUCGCCUACAUGAAGCUGGAAUCGCUAGUAAUCGCAGGUCAGCAUACUGCGGUGAAUACGUUCCCGGGCCUUGUACACACCGCCCGUCACACCACGAAAGUUUGCAACACCCGAAGCCGGUGGCCUAACCCGUAAGGGGGGGAGCCGUCGAAGGUGGGGCAGAUGAUUGGGGUG
This 704-nucleotide ribosomal RNA is filed under the name uncultured bacterium. Its description in RNAcentral is "bacterial SSU rRNA". It matches the Rfam family "Bacterial small subunit ribosomal RNA", at positions 778 to 1482 of the family's 1533-position model. The record is from RNAcentral.